CUAUUCUUUAGUAAACAUUGACUAGUCUUGUUCAGCUAUUAGCCCAACUUGCAACAAAUUGCUGUUCCCAUCUCAUUUCUUUCCCUCUUCCACGUGUCAUCAUUCAUCAUUGUCAGUGGCUCGCUUGUGGGCGUGCAGGCAGGAUAUGGCAGCAGCUUCGGUUGUGCGUCAAGAAUUCUGCAUACAGUAGCGCGUUUGUAGGAAUGUGUGGUUAUUCACAGGCAAAUUGUUAUGUGCUAUGGAGGUACAUUUGUGUCUUUUUGUCGAGAGCAAAACCUUUUUUAUUUUCAAUCAAAAAUAAUUGUUCUGAAAGCAACUUUUUUCCGACACAAAGGAAGUCAAAGCGGACACCUACGAAGAUGGCAUCUCAGUGAGCUGACCAAGGGGUCGAAAAUAUAGAUAUUGCCAGAUGUUCACUGUCUGAGGAACAGGCCGUGUAAGCUGUAUUGCUGGCAAAAGUGUCCAUAACCAGAGGUAAUUAAACUGUUCUGUGUUCUUUUUCUCCAACUCUGCCUGUCUUGUUUUACAUGGAACCUGUCUCACAUGCAUUCAUUAAAAAACCCUUAAGAUGUCAGCUGCUAAUUUUCAGAUUUACACCACAUAAACACAGCCCUUUUCACUGGACUAUCUGUUGCUGCCAAGUCAUGAUUUCCCUGGGGGUUAUAUUAGCCUUGCAAUAACCAAGUGGGGAGACACAUAGCCCUCUAUAUUUAAAUGUUUCAGGUACACUCCGAUAGGUGUCUGCGUCACAUACAGUAUCUUCUAUUGACAUUAUCUUCUAUUGUUUGUCCUCAUAUGUCUGUUUUUCAGCAUAAAGUACUCUCUAGCCACUUAGUGUGGACACCAGGUGAGACCACACACACAAUAACAGUCUCUCUUCUUCACUUCAUCCCUCUCUCCAUUCUCCCUAAACCCCUCCCGCAUCUGAACUGGCUGACACAGAGGGCAGGGCAUGAUCAUAGGUGAGAUGUCACUUGGUCGGGUCAACAGGAAGUAUUAUUAAAAAGAUGCUUUACAUUGAAAUACAGACAGAGAUGAAGUAGUCCCAGAGUUAAUGAUCCAAGGUCAGUUUUGCAUUUCACCUCCUGAUUAAGAUGACUGACCAUGUUAGAAUAAAAAAACAAGGCUUAAUAAUCAUGUUCUCUCUCUAUCCAUCUGUCUCUCGUCUGCAGGUAUGUUAUGAUGUGAGAGAGGAAGCCAGUCCCGUCAUCGCCACCUCACCCGCUCUUAAUAUACCUUUUGGGCCAACUGGGGGCCAAAGGCUGGUUAGGAAACACCGCAAUUGUGAUGAACUGAGAGGAUAUUAGGGUAGCACUGAAAUUCAUGAGUCAUAUGCUGUCUGCCGCUGUUCUUACCUCUUUCUCUUUCUGUCUUCUACACCUCUCACCUCAUCUUUCUUCCUCGUUUUAUAAUGCACACCAUAUGUGCAUUGAAGUACAGAUUGAACUUGUAUUUAUAAUAUAGUAUUACAAUUAUCAUAAUUAUAAUGCAUUUAUGUAUUUAUAACACCUGGAUAAUGAACUUUUUUCAAUAAAGCAUUUCACAUUCUCC
This 1551-nucleotide long non-coding RNA is filed under the name Salmo salar (Atlantic salmon). RNAcentral describes it as "lncRNA (ENSSSAG00000083686.1)". Lineage: Eukaryota; Metazoa; Chordata; Actinopteri; Salmoniformes; Salmonidae. The record is from RNAcentral.